This 576-nucleotide ribosomal RNA is filed under the name Bacillus subtilis. Its description in RNAcentral is "bacterial SSU rRNA". It matches the Rfam family "Bacterial small subunit ribosomal RNA", at positions 346 to 913 of the family's 1533-position model. Lineage: Bacteria; Bacillati; Bacillota; Bacilli; Caryophanales; Bacillaceae. The record is from RNAcentral.
AGGCAGCAGUGGGGAAUAUUGGACAAUGGGCGCAAGCCUGAUCCAGCCAUACCGCGUGGGUGAAGAAGGCCUUCGGGUUGUAAAGCCCUUUUGUUGGGAAAGAAAUCCAGCUGGCUAAUACCCGGUUGGGAUGACGGUACCCAAAGAAUAAGCACCGGCUAACUUCGUGCCAGCAGCCGCGGUAAUACGAAGGGUGCAAGCGUUACUCGGAAUUACUGGGCGUAAAGCGUGCGUAGGUGGUCGUUUAAGUCCGUUGUGAAAGCCCUGGGCUCAACCUGGGAACUGCAGUGGAUACUGGGCGACUAGAAUGUGGUAGAGGGUAGCGGAAUUCCUGGUGUAGCAGUGAAAUGCGUAGAGAUCAGGAGGAACAUCCAUGGCGAAGGCAGCUACCUGGACCAACAUUGACACUGAGGCACGAAAGCGUGGGGAGCAAACAGGAUUAGAUACCCUGGUAGUCCACGCCCUAAACGAUGCGAACUGGAUGUUGGGUGCAAUUUGGCACGCAGUAUCGAAGCUAACGCGUUAAGUUCGCCGCCUGGGGAGUACGGUCGCAAGACUGAAACUCAAAGGAAUUGA